Molecule: transfer RNA, 72 nt
Filed under: Dreissena polymorpha
Lineage: Eukaryota; Metazoa; Mollusca; Bivalvia; Myida; Dreissenidae
Description: transfer RNA threonine (anticodon CGU)
Rfam family: tRNA
About the family: Transfer RNA (tRNA) molecules are approximately 80 nucleotides in length.
Source: Rfam by way of RNAcentral
GCCUCCAUAGCUCAGUGGUAGAGCACUGGUCUCGUAAACCAGGGGUCGUGAGUUCAACCCUCACUGGAGGCA